AACGACUCUCGGCAACGGAUAUCUCGGCUCUCGCAUCGAUGAAGAACGUAGCAAAAUGCGAUACUUGGUGUGAAUUGCAGAAUCCCGUGAACCAUCGAGUCUUUGAACGCAAGUUGCGCCCGAAGCCUUCCGGCCGAGGGCACGUCUGCCUGGGCGUCACGCAU
RNAcentral lists this ribosomal RNA (164 nucleotides) under Calandrinia sp. AQ743890. Its description in RNAcentral is "5.8S ribosomal RNA". It matches the Rfam family "5.8S ribosomal RNA". From Rfam's summary of the family: 5.8S ribosomal RNA (5.8S rRNA) is a component of the large subunit of the eukaryotic ribosome. It is transcribed by RNA polymerase I as part of the 45S precursor that also contains 18S and 28S rRNA. Functionally, it is thought that 5.8S rRNA may be involved in ribosome translocation. Lineage: Eukaryota; Viridiplantae; Streptophyta; Magnoliopsida; Caryophyllales; Montiaceae. The record is from RNAcentral.